CCGAACGUCGGGGAGCACGACGCAAAACAAGCCAUGCGGAUUAGUUCGCGCGGCAGGUACUUUCGUACUUGCCGCUCUCUCUUCCCCCUCUCUCUCUCUCUUUCGUCGCUCAGGGAUGCUAGGCGCUCGACGCUUGUCGGCUCCGGGCCCGUGAAGGGAUGACACCUCUUUCUGCCGCAGGUGAAUAGCUUUCGGGAAGCAACGGCGCGGGCUCUGGGAGUGCGGGUGCCAUGUAAGAAUGGCGCCCGGGCUCGCGGAGUGCGGAUCGGAGCGGCUCGGAGGAAGGAAGCCCGCGGGGGGGGUCUCUCAGACACAGCAGCAGCAGAACCCCGCGAAACCACAAUCGUUAUGCGAUGUCGGGCGAGUUGCGUCUCGCCGAGCUCUUCGUGAGCUCGAAACAAAGCGCCACCCACAAACCACACCAAACUCUGAAUCUGAACUCAAAAGGAGGCGCGGCGCUCUCUUGCGCAGCGCCUUCUCAACCUUUAACGUU
This 493-nucleotide unclassified non-coding RNA is filed under the name Scytosiphon lomentaria. Its description in RNAcentral is "ITS1". Lineage: Eukaryota; Phaeophyceae; Ectocarpales; Scytosiphonaceae. The record is from RNAcentral.